UACGAAGGGGGCUAGCGUUGCUCGGAAUCACUGGGCGUAAAGCGCACGUAGGCGGACUCUUAAGUCGGUGGUGAAAUCCUGGAGCUCAACUCCAGAACUGCCUUUGAUACUGAGGAUCUUGAGUCCGGGAGAGGUGAGUGGAACUGCGAGUGUAGAGGUGAAAUUCGUAGAUAUUCGCAAGAACACCAGUGGCGAAGGCGGCUCACUGGCCCGGUACUGACGCUGAGGCACGAAAGCGUGGGGAGCAAACAGG
This 253-nucleotide ribosomal RNA is filed under the name uncultured bacterium. Its description in RNAcentral is "partial 16S ribosomal RNA". It matches the Rfam family "Bacterial small subunit ribosomal RNA", at positions 524 to 776 of the family's 1533-position model. The record is from RNAcentral.